This 253-nucleotide ribosomal RNA is filed under the name uncultured bacterium. Its description in RNAcentral is "partial 16S ribosomal RNA". It matches the Rfam family "Bacterial small subunit ribosomal RNA", at positions 524 to 776 of the family's 1533-position model. The record is from RNAcentral.
UACGGAGGGUGCAAGCGUUAUCCGGAUUUACUGGGUUUAAAGGGUGCGCAGGCGGAUAUGUAAGUCAGUGGUGAAAUCUUCCCGCUUAACGGGAAAACUGCCAUUGAUACUAUAUAUCUUGAAUGCUGUGGAGGUAAGCAGAAUAUGUCAUGUAGCGGUGAAAUGCUUAGAGAUGACAUAGAAUACCUAUUGCGAAGGCAGCUUACUACACAGUUAUUGACACUGAGGCACGAAAGCGUGGGGAUCAAACAGG